CAGCCGCCGCGGUAAAACGAAGGGUGCAAGCGUUACUCGGAAUUACUGGGCGUAAAGCGUGUGUAGGUGGUUGUUUAAGUCUGUCGUGAAAGCCCUGGGCUCAACCUGGGAAUUGCGAUGGAUACUGGGCGACUAGAGUGCGGUAGAGGAUAGUGGAAUUUCCGGUGUAGCAGUGAAAUGCGUAGAGAUCGGAAGGAACAUCUGUGGCGAAGGCGACUAUCUGGGCCAACACUGACACUGAGGCACGAAAGCGUGGGGAGCAAACAGGAUUAGAUACCCGCGUAGUCCCUGUCUCUUAUAC
Molecule: ribosomal RNA, 301 nt
Filed under: uncultured bacterium
Lineage: Bacteria
Description: partial 16S ribosomal RNA
Rfam family: Bacterial small subunit ribosomal RNA
Source: RNAcentral